AGCCAAACAAGCUGCCUUCGGCAAGGGCAGAGAAGCUGAGCUAAGGAUGGACUUUUCCAUCUUAUCUGACAACACGGCUGGAUAAAUUUUGAAGUGCCAGAAGCUCCUGCAAUACUCAACAGCUAAGUUUCAGAUGAUUCUGAUGAAAAUGCGGUGUCGGGAGAAAUGUGCCCUCCCUGAAGUAGCUGCUCUUUACGGUCUCUUAUUCAUCAAAAAGGUACGGGAAGGCUGCCACGGAAGCAAGCAUUCAUCUGCCUAUCCCCUGGCAGAGGAGUGAGGAGCGAGCCCUGCACACCGUGGGCUCAGAGGCGGCGCAGGGACCAGUCCCGCCGUGUCCACGUGUCCGUCUGUCCGGCACCUUGUGCCCAGGUGCACGGUGCAGCCACCGUCCUGGGGCCAGGGCGCUCCGGUGGCAGCGGCUGAUCCCAAAAAUGCCCCCGCCAGCAGGUUGACAUUUAGUGCUUUGGACUGGUUUUGAACUCCAUCAGACUUUCAGACCAUACCAUCUGUUUCCAACUGGGAAACAAUAGGCUGGCAAAGCAUCAGCCCCUCAUGGCAGGGAUCGAGGGGAUAAAUCGGAAAACUCAAACCAGAUGCAUUUUGUUGUAACAGGAAGCAAUUGCAUUGCUCUGGGCCUCUGAUAAAAUACAUUUUCAAGGGGCUGAAAAUGGCCUCAGGCAGCAAGCCUCUCCGUAUUAGAUCUUCUUCGUGCACCCUGCAGGACCCCAGCUUGCUCCGAGCCCGCUCCCAGCCAGCGGGAAGCGGGGCUGCAGCGUGCGUGCAGCACCAUCGGCCCUCCAGCGGAGCGUCAGGUUUUCAGUGUCUUGUCAUUCUGGCUGCUUUCAGCACAAAUCCACUCGAGACAGAUGUGAAUGGCUUUUACCAGAGCCUGCAGCUUCUUCCUGAGAGGCACAGAGCUCUAGCUGUGCCAGGGCUGCCCCGGCCCGCUCCACGGCCCCAUCCCCUGGGAGGUGGCUUUGCCACCGUGGUUGUCGCAGCGGGUGUCAUGGGAAGCCACCGGGGCCGCGUCUGCCUUUUGCCCUGUCCCUCAUCCAAAAUGUCAACUCUGGAAGAUCUCACCAGAGGCCUUUCCCUUCUCCAGAGGCCGUGGUUGCAUCUGCACCCAGUGCUGCUCUCCACACCCCGUGUUUGCUCCCAGCACCUUGUGUCCUACACCAGCUUUGUGCAGGUGUUUGUAGCACAUGCAGCACGGCUGCACAGCGCUGAAGACUGCUGAUGAGUUUACGGGUACCAUCGGCUGGCUCCGGCUUACUCUAGGUUUCAUUACAUCCAAUUAUUUCAUGCAAUUUAUCUCCAAGCUGGGCUCAAGCACGGCUGGGUGCAGUUGCUGCUCUUGCACUUUUCAGGACAAACCGACCUGUGACCGUGCAGCUGCUAACAGCAGUCCCAGGGCUCAGGCUAACUUUCAGAUGGAUUUUAGCAUUUUCAAUUUCAACUGCAUUUUUUAAUGUCUGCUGAGCAAAUGUCUGUAAUAGUGAUGAAGGGAUUUCUUUUUAUGAUUUACUACAAAGAACAGACUUUGAAACCCACCGAGUCCCGCUGCAGAGGCCAGCUCCUCAUUUUGCCAUGAUUUUAUAGGAGUGCUUUUGCACCGUGUGCUUCUGAGGAUGAAAACAACCCCAAUAUUUUCUUUGUGCUGUUUGUUUUAAUGCAGAAAGGAGAUUUUCCUUCAAGUGGCUUAUAAUAAAAUAUAUAUUUUUAUUUCAUACAGCUCAUAAACCUUUCCCUGCUAUUGUGAGCAGGUGUACAAGCCACACCUGAAAGCAGAGGUGAAAUGUAACUGCAAUUGCUCCGCUCUUUGUAGGAGCUGCAAUGGGAGAGCUGGGGCAGGGGAAAAAAACGAAGGCACCGGGAGAGGCCAGCACAGCCCCGAGCCACAUCAGGGCCGGCACCUCCUGGGGGUCCUCAGCUGCUCGAAGGCUUGCAGGGGCCAGGUUGCAGAGAGGCCGUGCAGGCACUCACACCAAGCAUCCCAGCACCACCGCGCUGCAGGUGAAUCACAGCUGCUCCUGCCUGCCCCAGGCAUCUGGACCCCGUUACUGGUCGAUGAAUUUGGAACCAGGAAUUUCUCUGCCCAGACAGAAGCGCCUCAGCUGGGGUGUGCAGGGUGCAGGAGGGCUGUGCGGGGCAUGCAGUCUGUGCAGGGCAUGCAGAGCUGUGUGGGACUCCCCAGCCACCGCUGAGAGCAGCGGCCACAAAAGUGGGUCUUGCUUUGCUUUUCUGCACUUCCUUCUGUUUGUUUCCCAGAACGGCUUUGGGGAAAAGCCAGCGGAAAAAUGGAAAAGCAGAGAAGGAACAGAAAACUCCUGUAAAAAUAAAAAAAGCUGAAAAUGAUCUGCAUAUCUUUGGACAGCAUUUAACUGCAUUUGAAAGCAAAACUCCAUUUAGUUUUGAAGUAUCAAAUAUAAUCAAUGUGUGUGAGCCCAAAUCACAGCUCUGAUUCUGAGAAAACAAAUUUCAAAUAGUUAAGAAAAAAAAAUGCGGUUGAAACACUUCAGUUAACUCCAGCUAUCAUAUUUUCUCAAAUUUGUCCUGGAGCCUCCCUAGAUUUCCUCAUUAAUCCCCAAAUGAAAUUCAAUUCAUUUCAUAUGUUCCUAGUGCCUGAACCAAUUAAUGUAUCCUCUGGUUCUUAAAAACCCACUCCUAUAGGAUAGCAAGCCCUGCAAUGACCUUGUGGUAAUUCUGAACCCAGGAGCUGCACAGGGAGCUAGGGACUUUGGCUUGCCUAGGAGAGCAAGGAGCGCCGCGACAGUCACAAAACCUCUUUCUAGAUGUUGCCCUAUUACUAGUUACUUUUCUGUUGCAAGGGCAGCCCUGAAGGAAGAAAAACAGCAGAGAGCAAAUGAUAAAAUUGCUUCUCUUCUAUUCUGUGCUUUGACACUGAUAAGGCUGUGCAAGCUCCCAGCUACAGCUCAUGUAGCUGGGAGCUCAGCCAACAAACAUGUCAUCUGUCCUGGGAAGCAGAGUAGCAUGGCCAGGAGGAAAGAGAAGAGAAGGGAAAAAAAAAUAGAAAAGAACGGAGGCCUGAAAAUGCUGCACUUCAGUAGGUUACAGAUUGUGUCUAAUUAGUAUUUUCCUUGCAAAAUAUUUGGUCUUACUGCUGCUCCCGUCUCACUUAGCAGGUGCGACGAGGAAAGCUUUGUGGUUUACUGCGGCCCUGGGGAUGCUGCCCGUGUCUGCCCACAGGCACCAAGCCGCCGAUAAGGCAGUCUCCGACAGCCAGAGCUCUGCGUCAGCUGCAAGCCUAAAACUAAUAUUUUGCUACAAGGGCUUGAACUGCAAAGCAAAGCAGUAGGGCUCUAGGUAUUUGUUUCAUAAAUAGAGAGCUGUGUCCAGCGCCCUGAUCCAACCGCUCCUAGAGGAACACAGUGCAGCAGCCAGCUGCCGGGGCGCAAAGGGAGUGCUGCUGCUGGCGGCGUGCGGCCACUUAGGCACAAGUGGAUGCUGAGUGUCUUCAGCACAUCCUCCAAACCAACACCCUGGGUGAGCUGCAUUGCCCUCCCGUAGCCUCUUUAUUCUAGAGCCAGCUCCUUUGUGCAGGCACUGCCCUGACCUGGGUCUUGUGCUGCCUCUCGCAGUGACUCCGGACAUGGCCUCAGGUGGCAGGGAGCAAGCAUGAAGGCGUGUGCCUGCGGGGCUGAUCGCCGGGUGGAUCCUUGUAUUCACUUCUAAGGGCUUUCUUCCUUCCCUUCUGGGCGCGGGGGAGAGGUAUUUCCUUGUUCCCAUGCACCAGGGCGAGCACGGCUGGCUGAUGUCUUCACCAUCUGAGCUGCUCCGUGGUAAAAAUAGACGCGAGAAGUCAAGGGAACUCUAACCCCCAUGGAGCUGCCAAAGGGAUUGCCACAAUUUUUUGCUGCCGUUUCAUGAAUAUUGCCUCAAAUAUGGAUUCCGCGAUGUUUUUCCAGUCUCUAGUUUCUCAUUAUAAACAGAGCAGCAUCCACUGGAAAAAUGUGCUCCACCUUCCCUGCUGCUCCCCUGGCUGGGACCCCUGGGCGCUGCCUUCUCCCAGGGGCCGCGGGUUCCUCUUGACUCUGCAUGCAUCCCCUUGCUGGCGGCAGCCCCUGCCUCCUGCCCCAAAGCUGGCUCAGAUUUUUCUCUUUCCACCUGGGAUGCCUCCCUGAGCCAUCACCAGUACAAAAUAGGGUUUCCUGGGGCGGGCGUGAUGGACCCUCCAUGAGCGAUGGGCACCAAGUGCCACCUUGGGCUGGUGGCCACACAGGGCUGGUGGCAGCGCGCCUCCCAGUCCUUGGCCUCUUGGUUGCUGGAUAUACCAGCAGCAUGAGCUGGCAAAGCCGCUUCUUGUAACAAAAUGAGUCAGAUUCAUUCUCCAGUGUUGCAAAAUACAUGGGUUUAUCUCUUAGAAGUCAUUAAUAUGUGAGUUUCAUUUUGUUUGGGUUUAUGUAAUCGGGAAAUACCCCUAACCCAGAAAUAUCCCUCUUCAGCUGAUUUUUCAGAAUUAUUCUUCUUUUUAUUUCCAAUUAGCUCUUGGCACAGAUUUUUUGUAGUGGGGUUUCAGCCAAAAGGAGAUUUAUAGAGUUGGGCCGUGAGCUCCCAGCACGGCUGGGAGCAGGGACCAGAGCCGCCUGUCCCCAGCCAGAGCAGGGCAAGGGACAGCAGUGGGGAAACCUCGGCGUCAUCUUCUGACACGGCUGGAAAAGGCCCCUGUGUCUGACGGCACAAUGGGAUUCGUUGGGAAGUAAUGGUUUGAGGGGAGAAGGAUUCAGAACAAAAAUCUUGUGCAAGCUGUGAAACUGGCUCAUUGUUACUGCAAGGGCAGAAGAGGCCUGGCUGCACAGCAGGAAGCAGCCCUCCUGUCCUCCUGUCCUCCUGUCCGCCUGCUUCCUCAGUCUGGGCACCAGGAACGUUUCUGCAGGAAGGCCUGGAGGGCUGGGGGGACACCAAGGGGACACCGCUCAGCUGUCACCAUCCCUGUCCCUGCCAUGGGGACACUGCCCGCGGGCUGGCCCCACGCCCCCCCCAUGCAGCCCAUCUGCGGUGCUGGGCAGUGAUGAGCUGGGGCAAUAUUUAUUUGAAUCGACUGCUUGGUGGGUGAUGUAACCGGAAUCGGCAAAAGGAAAAAGCCAAAUAAGGCAGCAUUUUAGUGAAAAUAUGUCCUAAAAUGGGAGCUGGACUGAUGAUUAGUGAGAGCAAAACACAGAUAUGAUAUUACCAUGUUGAGAGCCCCACACAGCCUCAGGCUGCUGGAAAAAGAAAAAAAAAAUAAAA
Cygnus atratus (black swan) is the source of this 5247-nucleotide long non-coding RNA. RefSeq lists it as uncharacterized. The transcript has 2 exons. Lineage: Eukaryota; Metazoa; Chordata; Aves; Anseriformes; Anatidae. The record is from RefSeq and is a predicted model, not a curated record.